This 1431-nucleotide ribosomal RNA is filed under the name metagenome. RNAcentral describes it as "bacterial SSU rRNA". It matches the Rfam family "Bacterial small subunit ribosomal RNA". The record is from RNAcentral.
UCAGGAUGAACGCUGGCGGUAUGCUUAACACAUGCAAGUCGAACGGAAUCUUUAGGGAUUUAGUGGCGGACGGGUGAGUAACGCGUAAGAAUCUACCUUCAGGUUGGGGACAACCACUGGAAACGGUGGCUAAUACCGAAUGUGCCGAGAGGUGAAAGGCUUGCUGCCUGAAGAAGAGCUUGCGUCUGAUUAGCUAGUUGGUGGGGUAAGAGCCUACCAAGGCGACGAUCAGUAGCUGGUCUGAGAGGAUGAUCAGCCACACUGGGACUGAGACACGGCCCAGACUCCUACGGGAGGCAGCAGUGGGGAAUUUUCCGCAAUGGGCGAAAGCCUGACGGAGCAAUACCGCGUGAGGGAGGAAGGCUCUUGGGUUGUAAACCUCUUUUCUCAGGGAAGAAGAAAAUGACGGUACCUGAGGAAUAAGCAUCGGCUAACUCCGUGCCAGCAGCCGCGGUAAUACGGAGGAUGCAAGCGUUAUCCGAAAUGAUUGGGCGUAAAGGGUCCGCAGGUGGCAUUGUAUGUCUGCUGUUAAAGAGUCUGGCUCAACCAGAUCAAAGCAGUGGAAACUACAAAGCUAGAGUCUGGUCGGGGCAGAGGGAAUUCCUGGUGUAGCGGUGAAAUGCGUAGAUAUCAGGAAGAACACCGGUGGCGAAGGCGCUCUGCUAGGCCAAAACUGACACUGAGGGACGAAAGCUAGGGGAGCGAAUGGGAUUAGAUACCCCAGUAGUCCUAGCCGUAAACGAUGGAUACUAGGCGUAGCUCGUAUCGACCCGAGCUGUGCCGUAGCUAACGCGUUAAGUAUCCCGCCUGGGGAGUACGCAGGCAACUGUGAAACUCAAAGGAAUUGACGGGGGCCCGCACAAGCGGUGGAGUAUGUGGUUUAAUUCGAUGCAACGCGAAGAACCUUAUCAAGACUUGACAUGUCACGGAUUCUGUUGAAAGAUGGAAGUGCCUUAGGGAGCGUGAACACAGGUGGUGCAUGGCUGUCGUCAGCUCGUGUCGUGAGAUGUUGGGUUAAGUCCCGCAACGAGCGCAACCCUCGUUUUUAGUUGCCAGCAUUAAGUUGGGCACUCUAGAGAGACUGCCGGUGACAAACCGGAGGAAGGUGGGGAUGACGUCAAGUCAGCAUGCCCCUUACGUCUUGGGCUACACACGUACUACAAUGCUCCGGACAAAGGGCAGCUACACAGCGAUGUGAUGCGAAUCUCAUAAACCGGAGCUCAGUUCAGAUCGAAGGCUGCAACUCGCCUUCGUGAAGGAGGAAUCGCUAGUAAUUGCAGGUCAGCAUACUGCAGUGAAUUCGUUCCCGGGCCUUGUACACACCGCCCGUCACACCAUGGAAGUUGGUCACGCCCGAAGUCGUUACCCCAACCGUUUGGAGGGGGAUGCCUAAGGUAGGACUGAUGACUGGGGUGAAGUCGGAACAAGGUA